This 368-nucleotide ribosomal RNA is filed under the name uncultured organism. RNAcentral describes it as "bacterial SSU rRNA". It matches the Rfam family "Bacterial small subunit ribosomal RNA", at positions 526 to 896 of the family's 1533-position model. The record is from RNAcentral.
CGGAGGAUCCAAGCGUUAUCCGGAUUUAUUGGGUUUAAAGGGUGCGUAGGUGGUUUUUUAAGUCAGGGGUGAAAGACGGCAGCUUAACUGUCGCAGUGCCUUUGAUACUGAAGAACUUGAAUAAACUAGAGGUAGGCGGAAUGUGACAAGUAGCGGUGAAAUGCAUAGAUAUGUCACAGAACACCAAUUGCGAAGGCAGCUUACUAUGGUUUGAUUGACACUGAGGCACGAAAGCGUGGGGAUCAAACAGGAUUAGAUACCCUGGUAGUCCACGCCCUAAACGAUGAAUACUCGAUGUUGGCGAUAUACGGUCAGCGUCUAAGCGAAAGCGUUAAGUAUUCCACCUGGGGAGUACGCCCGCAAGGGUG